GUGCUCACGUUGAUAGCACAUAUGCUAAAUUGGGAUGAUGCACAGAAGAUUACCAUGGCCUCUGUGCAAGGAUGAUGCACACAUUCGUGAAGUGGUCAUUAAAGUUUUUU
RNAcentral lists this small nuclear RNA (110 nucleotides) under Colobus angolensis palliatus. Lineage: Eukaryota; Metazoa; Chordata; Mammalia; Primates; Cercopithecidae. The record is from RNAcentral.